UACUUGAUCAGCACACUCUGGUGACAUGACAGCUGUAAAGUUGACUACUGAAUUCAGUGGAAAGACCGUGAGCAUUAUUGUUCACGGCUGAACACAAAUCUGUGGGCCACAUCGUGACCUUCUCCGGGGCCCACAGAACGCAACCGGGCCCUUCUUUGGGCCCAAGGAAAAAUGGGCUGCUCUUUUGGGCCCACGUGGGCCAUUUUGCCUCCGUUUUGGGCCGGCCGUGAAAUGGCUAGAGCUGAAAUUGCAGGUGUUGAUGACGAUCGAAAGCUGGAUGCUAAUUCAAAAAAAAAGAAAAGAAAAAGAAAAGCUUGGAUGCUGCACUUGUAACUGAAGCUGGUGACAGCAAUAGUACAACCUUGAAUUGUCUCUUCUGAUCUGCUGAUGCAUUUCUAGAUAAUGCAUAUCCAGCAGAUUUGGGUGAUUAAUCCAAGUAAUGAUCUCACUCCACUGAUAGUGGAAAUUGCUGGCUUCAGCAUCAAAAACUGCAUUGUAUGUUUGUUUUUUCGUUCUUUUUUUUGGCAUUGUUUCAGCUUCUUUAUAUGAAGUACAAAUUCUACACUCCAGCUUGGCCUUAAAGUGAUCGAACACCUAGCUUGCACGGCCAUGGCGCCCAUGGCGCAAGAUGUCGCCGAGUACCUGAGCAUCUUCUUGGCUCUCGUCGUGGCCCCUCUCCUGCUGCUCAGGGUGGCGAGGCGGGCGCGCGGCAAUGGCGCCGGCCGGCCGAGGCUUCCGCCGGGGCCGUGGCGGCUGCCGGUCAUCGGGAGCCUGCACCACCUGAUGGGCAAGCCCCACGUGCACCGCGCCAUGGCCGACCUCGCGCGCCGGCACGGCGCGCCGCUCAUGUACCUCAGGCUCGGCGAGGUCCCUUUCGUGGUGGCCUCGUCGCCCGACGCCGCGCGCGAGGUCCUCAGGGCGCAGGACGCCAACUUCGCGUCGCGGCCGUGGAGCCCCACCCUGCGCGUCAUGAUGGCCGACGGCGAGGGCCUCGCGUUCGCGCGCCACGGCGCGCACUGGCGCCUGCGCAAGAUCUGCGUCCUCGAGCUGCUCGGCCCGCGGCGCGUGCGGUCGUUCCGCCGCGUCAGGGAGGAGGAGGUGGCGCGCCUCCUCGCCGCCGUCGCCGCCGCGGCCGCGGCCGGGGCCGACGCCGUCGUGAACGUGAGCGAGCGCGCCGCCGUGCUGGUCACGGACACGACGUGCGCGCCAUGAUCGGCGACAGGUUCGAGAUGCGGGACGAGUACCUGGAGGGCGUGGCCGAGGUGGGGAAGCUCCUGCUCGGGCUCAGCCUCGGCGACCUGUUCCCGUCGUCGAGGCUGGCCAGCCUCGUCAGCGGCACGGCGCGCCGCGCCGCAGCGAGCCACCGGAAGAUGUUCGAGCUCAUGGACUGCGCCAUCAGGCAUCACCAGGAGAGGAAGGCCGCCAUGGACGCCGACGAGGACAUCUUGGACGUGCUGCUUCGGAUACAGAAGGAAGGAGGUCACGAUGCCCCGCUCACCAUGGGAGAUGUCAAGGACACCAUACUUGAUCUUUUUGCUGCUGGGACGGAGACAUCAACAGCAACACUCCAAUGGGCUAUGUCCGAGGUGGUGAGGAACCCAAGAAUAAUGCAAAAGGCACAAGCCGAGCUACGUAACAAGCUUCAAGGGAAGCCAAGUGUGACCGAAGAUGACCUAGUUGGCCUAACCUACUUAAAGCUCGUCAUCAAGGAAACCCUAAGACUGCACCCCGCCGCACCAAUGCUUGUCCCAAGGGAGUGUGGGGAGUCGUGCAAGGUGCUAGGGUACGACGUGCCCAGGGGCACUAACGUGCUCAUCAACGCGUGGGCGAUUGGCAGAGACCCCAAUUACUGGGAUGACACGGAGACGUUCAAACCAGAUAGGUGUGAGAAUAACAAGUAUAACUUUAGAGGCACCGAUUUCGAGUACAUACCGUUUGGAUCUAGACGAAAGAUCUGCCCUGGUCCGGCGUUCACACAUGCCAUCUUGGAGCUCGCGCUCGCCGCUUUGCUGUACCACUUUGACUGGGAGCUCCCCUGCGGAGUUGCUCCAGGGGAGGUGGAUAUGGCCGAGGAGACAGGCGUCGUCGUUCGCCCGAAGAACGACCUCUACCUGCGUCCGGUCGUCCGUGUGCCGCCGGGAGCUGCCUCGAGCGGCAAUGGUGGCACCUAGCCGUGCACCGCAUCUACUACCUAGCCUUAAUUAUGUGAAAAUGUAACCUGGUUGGAUCGAAUGGAUUAAGUGCUAAAUAAAAUGGUUUAUGUGUUCAUGUUUGUUUGUGUUCGUCACAUGUCACAUGCAUAAGAGAGAGAAUCAGACUAUCAGAGAAGGCGAGGUCCAGAAGCAGGAUCAAUGUUAUGCACCUUGCAAUGUCGAUAGCAAUUGGCAUUAGUCCUAAACUGCUCAGUCAUCGUGCAGGAUAUUGGUGCAGGUAUCCCAUAGAGUCAUACUCUGGUUCUGUAAUCACCAGGCAUUCAGAAAUCAAAACCGUGAAAACUAAAGACAGGCAUAUUCAUGCUCCACAUAAUUCUCCAAGAAGAAAUUUGGAUAAAAAUAUUGAUAUAAAUUUUUAAAAGUACGGAACAAUGGAAACUUUCAUCUGAUAAGCAUUCUUUUAUCGGAAUAAAUAUAUCAGUGGAUACGUACGAUACAAUGAACAGAUCCUCUCAUGCUUUGUAUAAAUUGUAUUACAUGCUACUACAAUACAGUGAACAGGUCCUUUCAUACUUUGAAUUACAUGCUACAAUACAUCUCACCAUACUUUACAUACAAUCAAUGGUCUGAGAGAAGGGUCAAGCACUCAAGCUUCCUGGUGCACACAUUAAUCUACACCUCAAUUGAUGCUUCACCGUUGCUUGCCUUUCUCCAUUUUGAGGAUCGUUGCUUGUUUAUGAUUUGGACGUAAGGGUGAAUAGUCUAAGUGUCUAACCACACCAUGAGCAAUAGGUCAACCCCUUGCAUCAUAUGAUAUCUUGGUAUGAUUGAGUAUAAGACUAUGAGAGGGAAUAUUGCCCUCAAGAUCUGUUAAAAGACAUCAG
Molecule: non-coding RNA, 3037 nt
Organism: Oryza sativa Japonica Group (Japanese rice)
Lineage: Eukaryota; Viridiplantae; Streptophyta; Magnoliopsida; Poales; Poaceae
Source: RefSeq, a predicted model, not a curated record